This 160-nucleotide non-coding RNA is filed under the name bovine gut metagenome. Its description in RNAcentral is "Lysine riboswitch". It matches the Rfam family "Lysine riboswitch aptamer". Rfam says of the family: Riboswitches are metabolite binding domains within certain messenger RNAs that serve as precision sensors for their corresponding targets. Allosteric rearrangement of mRNA structure is mediated by ligand binding, and this results in modulation of gene expression. This family includes riboswitches that sense lysine in a number of genes involved in lysine metabolism, including lysC. The record is from RNAcentral.
GUAUAGAGGUGCGGUGUUUAUAAGUAAUCACUUUUUUAUGUACGGCAAUGCAGAAUUUGAUGAAAGGAAACGCCGCCGAAAAAGAUAUUUUUUGCCGAAAAUAUUUUUUGGGACGGUACAGAAUAUGUGCCGUACUGUCACCAAAGGUGGAGUGCUAUCG